Non-coding RNA from Otolemur garnettii (small-eared galago), 375 nucleotides. Lineage: Eukaryota; Metazoa; Chordata; Mammalia; Primates; Galagidae. The record is from Rfam.
AGUGUGCCCUUUCCUUCUUGACUUUUUAGCAGUUCUGAGUAAAUAUUGAUUUGCCCCCCCGUUUACCUUCUCUCUGGCCAUUUUGCAGACUAAGGAACCGGGCUCUUAGGGAUUUGAUUUUUGUGUUACUUUCCGGCCCUUUUGCUGCCCUCCCCUCCUCCCUCCAAGUGGCAUUGUAAAACUCACAGUGACAAAGAGACAGAGUAGGGUUUGAGGCCCCAGUUCCUGGGGAUUCAAGGCAGUUUUACAUACGGGUCAGACACGGCUGGAGGCCAAGGUCAAGUUGAAAGUUGCAGUCUAGCCAGUUGUGAGAACAGCCAGGCAAGCCUGGAGACCCAGGCAGCUGGAAAGGCCCACACUGCCCACCUCCUCUCA